CAGCCGCUCGCCCCGCCGCAUCGCCGCCUCCUCCUCCUGCGGUCGCUCAUCCCUCCUCCUCCACCCAAUCCCUAACCCUAGCAGCUCCCGCCGUCGCCGCCGUCUACUUCGCCCAGCCUGCCAGACCGCCUCUGUCCACUUCCCCAGUGUCGUCGCGGUCGUCCUCACCUGCACACGGCAAGAGGAGCGGCCCCACCCUCUCCUCUCCUCCUUCCCUCAUCACGAGCCAUGACAGGGAGGGCCACCGUGGCCGGGCAGGUCAGGCGGCGCGUCCAGAUCACCGAGGAGCCGCCCGCAAGGUCGGCCAUGGCGCAACCGAGCAGAGCAGGUGAGGAGGGAGACGCCGGUUCCUCUUUCCCGCUGCUUGCUUCGUCGCCGGCGCGGCUCCGAUGGACUCUCGUGGCUCCUCUCUGUCUCCUUCCUCGCCCCCACACGCGGCUCCACUUCCCGCUGGCCAUGGGGCUGGCCGGCAGCAGCGCCUCCCUCCCUGCCGCUGCCAGUCCCGGCGCCGCCGACGGGUCCAUAGGCAGGCGUCGUUCUUGGUGGUUGAGCCGCUGAUGCAGAAGAUUCAUGGAGAGAUUUGUUGGGUGGACGCCGACAUCCUUGCCGUCGUCCGGUUGCAGGGUAGUUCUUACAAAAAGAGGCAAGCUGAAGAGGAAGGUUGCAAGAAGGAGAGCAACUGUGCAUUGUUAUGAUUGCCUCUUCCUCCUGUUGCUAAGUGUCACAAGCAAAAGGACCAAGUGCGGGCGGGUGAGCAUCAGGAGUCCAGUUGAUUGGCUUCGACCUUUGAGUUGUUGCUGGCUAGCAGUGCCACUUCUGAGCGUCUCCUCACCCCUCACUCAUGUGGCCCCUUCAACUAGUGGCACUUUUGCUUGUGUCUUGUUAUCUUUUCGAAAUGGUGAAGCUGACAAUGAUAGCCUGUAUCACUGAUGGCCUUUCAUUUGCGGAGUGCUUAGAUGGUGGUUAUGUUAAGGAUGUUGUCUUCUAAAAGCAGCAAGCAAAAUUGUUGUUCAAAAACAUAUAUAAAGGCCAACAUGAAUCAUCAAGACUGUCAACUGAGACUGGACCAUACCAUUCCAGGUUAAGGGGCGUAUGGCGGUGAGGAAGCGGCGGCGCGCGCCUACAACCUGGCGGCAUUGAAGUACUGGGGCCAUGACACCAUCCUCGACUUCCUGCUGUCUAGCUACGACCAAGAGUUGAAGGAAAUGGAGGAGCAAUCCAGGGAAGAGUACAUUGGUUCGCUCCGGAGGGUUACUAAAUGAGUAGCAGUAAUAUCCAUGGCGGAGAUGAUAUCCAUAUUUUAUUGUGUUGCUACUACUUUCCUUCAUUUUUCUAUCCUGCAUUUCCAAUAUACAUCAUACAUAAUACAUUUCCAGUCUCUAAAUCGAUAGACAGGAAAAAAUAGCUAAACAUGGUUGUGAAGUUUUGGCUGGUUUUUGGACUGAAGACAUAUAACAUCUGUUGUAGCUCUAAAUGCACACUGUUCUCUUUCCUUGGCAAUGUUUGCAGAAUAUAUAUAUAUAUUGUAGAGACAGUAAUAUUUGUGCCUUGUGAGAAUAGGUCUGCUGUCAAGUGACAUCAUGCAACAUAGAUUUAGAACGAAGAGUAAGAUAUGUUUCUAUACAGCGACUACUGGAUCGAUAGUACAAAAUAAAUAGCGUGAAUGGAUUUAGCAUUAAGAUACGAAAAUUCUAAAGCUACCCUUCUUGUGGAUCGACUGAUAAAUCCAUGUAUAAUAUUUUGAGAAAGAGUUAAAUCAGUAUAUGCUGUUUGAGUGCCUUUUAAUUAAGAUACUAGACUAUGUUGGUACACAUAUAUUUGGAUGCUUGUGAUUGGCUGGAAAGAGCUGAAACUUGGAUUUGUUGUUGGACUAAACUGAGUAGUCAUAGCCUUUUGGUUGAUGCUUCAGUAUACCAAAAAACUUGCUAUUUUUCAUGUUCUUGUACGUGAUGGGUUCAAUGUUUUCGAGUCGAUGAGUCGACGGGUCGCUCGGGGAGGACGACUCUAGACUAGUCGUGACUAGUCUAGACUCACGGUCGAUGAGUCGACAUGGCGAUGAGUCGACAUGAGUUAAGCAGCAGGCAGUCAGGGGAGGAGCACAAGUGCACAGCAGCAGCAGCAACCAGGGGAGGAGGGGAGGAGCACACCACCAGCAGCAGUAACCAGGGCCAACUGAGAGAUGGGCCACUAGUUAUGCACUUCCCUGUGGCCCAAAAGCCCAUCUAGUAGCUAUAUACUCCUCCCGUGACCUAAUCCACCAUCCACACUCCCUCCUCCCUCACCACAGCCGCCACACAUUCGCUGCCACUCUUGCCACCAGUCCACCACUCCUCCUCCCAGCGAUGGAUCUCUCAACUCCCCCGCAGCAGCUCUCUUGCCACCGCUCCUCCUCCCAGCCCGCUCCUCUUGCCGCUUCAGCUUCAGCAGCAGCAGCAGCAGCGCGGCGGCAAGGGCGCAGCAGCAGCAGCGAGGCAGCACAGCAGCAGCAUCAGCAGCACGGCGGCGGGAGAGUGCUCCGGAUCCAGCGCUGCCUCGAGUCGUUCGACCCCAAAACCGCGACUAGUCGUGACUAGUCGAGACUAGUCGCGCGAGUCACUCGACUCAUCCCAGGAGUCGAGUCGAGAAGCUGAGUCGGCUCUGGAACUGCGACUCGUCGACUAGUCGACGACUAGUCGAGCGACUCGAAAUCCAUGGAUGGGUUUAGGACACAAACAAUUAUUAUUUUUAUUUACGAAAAACUUGUGCUUCAAGAUUACAGUAUGUUGAAUGCCUUUCGUGCUUGGUUAAAAUAUAAGUACUGCUUAUAUAUGAUUUCAAUUCAGCUUGACCAAUUUUCUUUGCUCUGCUUUUUCCCUCCCUCUCCACUGAAUAUGACCAUGUUCAAAAUAAAAUGCGCAUUAACACUUAUGAGAGUAACCGAUAUUUUAUUUUUGUUGGAAGUGUUCUCUCUAGGUCUGCGUUGAUCCCACUCUCUUGCAUUCAGGUAAGCGCCGCCAUAAACGCCAACGUGCCAAAAAGACAAGGGGCCGAGCUCCAUGUAGCGAACCAUGUCUUUGUGAGAGGACCGUAAUAAGAGGUAGCAUGCUGGCUUUAUGCCAUUGUUCAAUACUUUGCAUAUUAAAUGAACUCUUACACCAUUUUUUAAUAGAUUGUUCUUCGCAUGUUAAACUCCACUCUUACGCAUAGGACCAAUAUGCUGCAAACUAUGGGGCAAACCAUCGCUCACUAUCAACAAGCGGUCAAUUAAAAGAACAUAAUCGUAUUAUCCAUGAUUUUUUUCUAUGGCUUGAUUGGUUAAACUAAAAACUCACAGCAGGUUCAUGUGACGUGCCAUGUGAGAAGUUGAACGACAAGACAGUCAAGUGAAGUUAUCAAAUAGUAUGCUUUAGUUGAACUGUAUAGGUUCCUUAUCUCUCACUGGCGCUCUGGCUUGAUUUUGUUGUCUAACUCUACUCUCUGUAUCUAACUUAAUUUGAAUUGAUCGUCCUGCCUUAGCUUUGGAACAAAGAAAUGUUUCCCUUUUAUUAUGAGCCUCCACGUCAUUUGUUCUACUGAUUAAAUAUUUCCUACUCACCUUGCUUUUGGUAUACCCAACAUUGUUCUUGAUUUACUUUUGGAACAAAAUAUAUAUUCAUGAGCUUCCAUA
Molecule: long non-coding RNA, 3646 nt
Organism: Triticum dicoccoides
Lineage: Eukaryota; Viridiplantae; Streptophyta; Magnoliopsida; Poales; Poaceae
Exons: 8
Source: RefSeq, a predicted model, not a curated record